RNAcentral lists this small RNA (2550 nucleotides) under Drosophila pseudoobscura pseudoobscura. RNAcentral's name for it is "GA32031". Lineage: Eukaryota; Metazoa; Arthropoda; Insecta; Diptera; Drosophilidae. The record is from RNAcentral.
CUGGAUAUUCCUCAAUUUCUAUAAAUUCUAUAAAUUAUUAUAGAGAGAUAUAUGCAGAAAAGCAAAAUGUUGUUCAAUGGGAAACAAAACAAAUGGUGGAGACGGAGGCGGAGGCGGACGAGGAGGGGGAGGGCAGAGGGUGUCUGUCCCUCCCUCCCUAUCAUGUGAGUGGGUGAAGAGGCAACAACAAAGAUGCAACAAAGAUAGCAACAAACACUAUGUACUUUUUCUGGGGUUUACUGUUUUGGUAGUUUGUUUCCCUCUUUAGCUAGUUUUUUUUUAAUUUUGUUGGUAGAAUGACCGUUACGCCAAUUAGUUUGGGGUUUUCCUUUUUUUUCUUUUUGUUGGUUUUUUUUGGUUUUUUUUUUGGUUUUUUGGGUGUUUUUUUUAACCAUAAAAACUAUGUGUGCAGUAAAUUAUUGCAGCAAACGAAACGAAAAUGGAAACCAGAACAAAAUGAAGGACAUUUGACAGAUGUUACACGAUGCGUUUUCAACCGACGCGUCGGUGCUUCAUGGUCAUUGCAUUUUGCCAUUCACACUAUAUUGCUUACACAAAAACUUUGGAGCAUAUAAUAUUCUGUCGUAAUACAGUCACAUUUUCCUUCGGCGACAUUUACGGAAACUACUGAAAGUUUUGUUUUAUUUUUUGUAUACAUGAGAAUGGCAUGAAUUUCCCAAUGGAAAUGGCUGCUUUUAAAGCGUUUGAAGAUGUCAUUUUCUUUACAUUUUCACAGAUGAGAUGUUUUUCUAAAUAAACUUCUGAAAAACUACAGAAAGCUUUGUUGGUUUUCGUAUACAUGAGAAUGGCUCUCGUUUCCCCAUGUGAAUGGCUCUUUAUAGCUUAUUCGCUUCACAAUUCGGCGGACUUUACGUUUCUGAGGUUUGUUUUGGAUCAAAAACACAUCGUGUAACAGCAGUAACUUUGAAAAGUGGACAAGUGGAAUAUAUCCCGAAAACAUAUUGUGUGACUGACUGACUGGCUGAUUGACUGACUGAUGGAUUACGACUACGGGGGAGGGGAGUAUGGACAGUGGAGUGGAUCGUGAGAGUGGAGGAGGCAGAGUGGGAAUGGAGCUAAUUAUGAGCUUUGAUGACAUGCAGAGAGGAGAGGGACACCAUAAAGAGGGCGAGAGAGAGUCAAGCCCUAAACCGCAUGCUGAUUGACUGCCUGUGCGAGUACGUUUGUCAAUGACUGUACAUGGCUUUUUCUCUCUGGAUCAGUGACUGUGUGUGUCGUGUGUCCUGCGACUUAAUGGGCACUCAAACACUUUUCGGCAUGUCAUAAAAAACAUGACACAGGCAGGCAGACAGGCAGACAGGCAGGCAGGCAGCCGCAAGGCUGCCCCUCGAGGGCACUACAUGGCGGGCCGCACAUCUCUCUUCGCAUAUACCCUCUCCUGGGGCCACACUCUCUCUCCUUUGGAGACUAUGUACAUAUAUUCAUUGGUAAAACUAAUUUAAUUUAUAUUUUUGCACAUAAUUGAAUACUAAUUGAAUGUUUGCAUGCAGAUGGAAAUGGAAAUGGCAAAUAGAGAGAAAGAGUUGUGGCAAAUAUUCGAAUAAUCAACAAAUCAAUUUGAGUGCCAAAAACAGAGAGACGGAGAGAGUCCAGAGUGCAGAGAGUAGGGGUUACAGGUUACAGGUUAAAGGGGGAUUAAACAUUACAAAGAGUGAAAGAGAGGGGGGAGGGGGGAUUAGCAAAUAUAUUUCGAUAUUUAAUUGAAGUUUAUUUGGUUUUUUGGAACUAAAUUGCAUACUCAUUGAGUGGCGUGAAUACCAAACCACUUUGCGAGUGGCUGCAUCGUUCAUGUUGUUGUUGUUCAUGUUGUUGUGGCAGUGGCAGUGGUGGCAGAGUGGCACAGACAGAAAGGUGGAUGAAGUGGAUGACAAAAGAGCACAUAUACUAGACAUUGGGUACAACAUAGUGUGAGUGUGUGGUGGCAGAGUGACACUAAUGGAAUUUCUUUCGGCAGCCUCGCUUCAAAUUAAGCGGCAUCCCAGAAAGUAGACAACGAAAUUCACUCGAGUGUCUGUCCUUAAAUUGCAGCAGCCCCGAAAGUAUGCUACAACAUCUGUGCUAAAUAGAUACACUAUGCGAAUUGUCCGCGAUACGUUGCGUACCAAAUUCGUUGCAUACUUUUGGGGGCUGCCUAAAAUGGUAGACCAACUAGCAGGCCUGUCCUCGAUUUCAUUUGCACAAAAACUGACGUUUGAAUUAAUAGAAUUUAAUUUAUUAGCAAUGAUCACCGACAGUUCUCAACAAACAUUUAAAACUCUACCAGCAUUUAAUUUUCCAAAAAUCUUUUGCUGAGCAACAAAAGAAGUGACGGAUUUUACAGAUACACAAUUCAGAUUCCGAAACGGAAACAGAAACAGAUGCAACACAUUUUUUGCAAUGAAUGAAUGAAUGAGUGAAAGAGACUCUUAAACGAAUGCUGCUGCUCAUUAUGGCGUGAUGAUUAUUCGUGAUUAUUCGUUAGUAAGUUGUGAUUAAUUGUUAAAAUGAAUGUUAGUUAGUGUUUAAUGUUAGUUAGUAAUGCUAGUAAGC